UCGAGCGAAGCACUUUGCUUAGAUUCUUCGGAUGAAGAGGAUUGUGACUGAGCGGCGGACGGGUGAGUAACGCGUGGGUAACCUGCCUCAUACAGGGGGAUAACAGUUAGAAAUGACUGCUAAUACCGCAUAAGACCACAGCACCGCAUGGUGCGGGGGUAAAAACUCCGGUGGUAUGAGAUGGACCCGCGUCUGAUUAGCUAGUUGGUAAGGUAACGGCUUACCAAGGCGACGAUCAGUAGCCGACCUGAGAGGGUGACCGGCCACAUUGGGACUGAGACACGGCCCAAACUCCUACGGGAGGCAGCAGUGGGGAAUAUUGCACAAUGGGGGAAACCCUGAUGCAGCGACGCCGCGUGAGCGAAGAAGUAUUUCGGUAUGUAAAGCUCUAUCAGCAGGGAAGAAAAUGACGGUACCUGACUAAGAAGCCCCGGCUAACUACGUGCCAGCAGCCGCGGUAAUACGUAGGGGGCAAGCGUUAUCCGGAUUUACUGGGUGUAAAGGGAGCGUAGACGGAUGGACAAGUCUGAUGUGAAAGGCUGGGGCUCAACCCCGGGACUGCAUUGGAAACUGCCCGUCUUGAGUGCCGGAGAGGUAAGCGGAAUUCCUAGUGUAGCGGUGAAAUGCGUAGAUAUUAGGAGGAACACCAGUGGCGAAGGCGGCU
This 664-nucleotide ribosomal RNA is filed under the name uncultured Lachnospiraceae bacterium. RNAcentral's name for it is "bacterial SSU rRNA". It matches the Rfam family "Bacterial small subunit ribosomal RNA", at positions 62 to 726 of the family's 1533-position model. Lineage: Bacteria; Bacillati; Bacillota; Clostridia; Lachnospirales; Lachnospiraceae. The record is from RNAcentral.